This 449-nucleotide ribosomal RNA is filed under the name uncultured bacterium. RNAcentral describes it as "partial 16S ribosomal RNA". It matches the Rfam family "Bacterial small subunit ribosomal RNA", at positions 29 to 523 of the family's 1533-position model. The record is from RNAcentral.
AACGAACGCUGGCGGCAUGCCUAACACAUGCAAGUCGAACGAGACCUUCGGGUCUAGUGGCGCACGGGUGCGUAACGCGUGGGAAUCUACCCUUGGGUUCGGAAUAACAGUUAGAAAUGACUGCUAAUACCGGAUGAUGACGUAAGUCCAAAGAUUUAUCGCCCAAGGAUGAGCCCGCGUAAGAUUAGCUUGUUGGUGGGGUAAUGGCCUACCAAGGCGACGAUCUUUAGCUGGUCUGAGAGGAUGAUCAGCCACACUGGGACUGAGACACGGCCCAGACUCCUACGGGAGGCAGCAGUGGGGAAUAUUGGACAACGGGCGAAAGCCUGAUCCAGCAAUGCCGCGUGAGUGAUGAAGGCCUUAGGGUUGUAAAGCUCUUUUACCAGGGCUGAUAAUGACAGUACCUGGAGAAUAAGCUCCGGCUAACUCCGUGCCAGCCGCCGCGGUAA